GGCCCAUCCUCCAAGGCUAAAUACUCCUGACUGACCGAUAGUGAACCAGUACCGUGAGGGAAAGGCGAAAAGAACCCCGGCGAGGGGAGUGAAAAAGAACCUGAAACCGUGUACGUACAAGCAGUGGGAGCACGCUUAGGCGUGUGACUGCGUACCUUUUGUAUAAUGGGUCAGCGACUUAUAUUCUGUAGCAAGGUUAACCGAAUAGGGGAGCCGAAGGGAAACCGAGUCUUAACUGGGCGUUAAGUUGCAGGGUAUAGACCCGAAACCCGGUGAUCUAGCCAUGGGCAGGUUGAAGGUUGGGUAACACUAACUGGAGGACCGAACCGACUAAUGUUGAAAAAUUAGCGGAUGACUUGUGGCUGGGGGUGAAAGGCCAAUCAAACCGGGAGAUAGCUGGUUCUCCCCGAAAGCUAUUUAGGUAGCGCCUCGUGAAUUCAUCUCCGGGGGUAGAGCACUGUUUCGGCAAGGGGGUCAUCCCGACUUACCGACCCGAUGCAAAC
RNAcentral lists this ribosomal RNA (503 nucleotides) under Shigella sonnei. RNAcentral's name for it is "partial 23S ribosomal RNA". It matches the Rfam family "Bacterial large subunit ribosomal RNA", at positions 450 to 954 of the family's 2925-position model. The record is from RNAcentral. Lineage: Bacteria; Pseudomonadati; Pseudomonadota; Gammaproteobacteria; Enterobacterales; Enterobacteriaceae.